RNAcentral lists this ribosomal RNA (498 nucleotides) under uncultured bacterium. Its description in RNAcentral is "bacterial SSU rRNA". It matches the Rfam family "Bacterial small subunit ribosomal RNA", at positions 15 to 507 of the family's 1533-position model. The record is from RNAcentral.
GAUCAUGGCUCAGGAUGAACGCUAGCGGCAGGCUUAAUACAUGCAAGUCGAGGGGCAGCACGGUUAGCAAUAACUGGUGGCGACCGGCGCACGGGUGCGUAACACGUAUACAAUCUACCUUAAACAGGGGGAUAGCCUCGAGAAAUCGGGAUUAAUACUCCAUAACAUAAUUAAGUGGCAUCAUUUGAUUAUCAAACCUCCGGGGAUUAAAGAUGAGCAUGCGCAACAUUAGCUAGUUGGUAAGGUAAUGGCUUACCAAGGCUACGAUGUUUAGGGGGGUCUGAGAGGAUGAUCCCCCACACUGGUACUGAGACACGGACCAGACUCCUACGGGAGGCAGCAGUAGGGAAUAUUGGGCAAUGGAGGAAACUCUGACCCAGCCAUGCCGCGUGCAGGAUGACGGCCCUCUGGGUUGUAAACUGCUUUUAUACGGGAAGAAAAAAUACUACGUGUAGUAUACUGACGGUACCGUAAGAAUAAGGAUCGGCUAACUCCGUG